RNAcentral lists this ribosomal RNA (532 nucleotides) under Vulpicida viridis. RNAcentral describes it as "SSU rRNA". It matches the Rfam family "Bacterial small subunit ribosomal RNA", at positions 448 to 975 of the family's 1533-position model. The record is from RNAcentral. Lineage: Eukaryota; Fungi; Ascomycota; Lecanoromycetes; Lecanorales; Parmeliaceae.
AUAAAAUUCUAGGUAGAAUUAUGAUAAUGACAUUGUCUGCCUAUGUGUCUUGACCAAAUUACGUGCCAGCAGUCGCGGUAAUACGUAGAAGACUAGUGUUAUUCAUGUUUAAUCGGUUUAAAGGGUACCUAGACGGUAAAUCAAGCCUAAAAGGAAAUAAAUGAAGGGACUAAUUUACUAGAGUUACUUAUGAGGGGGUAUUAAAGUASUGCUGGUGUAGAGAUGAAAUUCUGUCAUACCUCUUUUCAAUAGAAAAAUAAUGGCACAGGUAUAGGSGAAAGCAUCCCCUUAUGUGAUAACUGACGUUGAGGGACGAAGGCUUUGUGUAGCGAACAGGAUUAGAUACCCCAGUAGUCAAAGCAGAAAAUGAUGAAUGUCAUAGAUUAGAUAUAUAAGUUUAUUCUAUAAAUGAAAGUGUAAGCAUUCCACCUCAAGAGUAAUUUGGCAACAUUGGAACUGAAAUCAUUAGACCGUUUMUGAAACCAGUAGUGAAGUAUGUUGUUUAAUUUGAUGAUCCGCAAAAAACCUUACC